Molecule: long non-coding RNA, 595 nt
Filed under: Mus caroli (Ryukyu mouse)
Lineage: Eukaryota; Metazoa; Chordata; Mammalia; Rodentia; Muridae
Description: lncRNA (MGP_CAROLIEiJ_G0013746.1)
Source: RNAcentral
GUUUCUAAAAAGUCAGUUGAGAUUUAGCCAAGCCUCCUCCUAGCUGUGACAGAAACUUCACAAAACAUCCUAUGGGAAUAGAUCCCUAGAGAGUGUGGCUGAGUCUCCUCAGCAUCUGUAGCCUUGGGAAAACUGGAUGUAUCAUCGACUCAGGGAACGAAAUCAGUGAGCAUCUUGAAAUGUUGAGACCCUGUAUGCGGUGGUUGGAAUGAGAACGGCCUCCCUAGACACUUAUCGUCUGCCCUGUGCGAUAGGAGGCUGGACCUUGGAGAUGUUUCUGAGAUUUGAUUCCUGUGCUCGUGGGUGAGACAGAGAUAAGACACGAGUAGAAGAGAGAGCAGUGAUAGCCAACAGGCACUCAUAGCUUCUGCUUUAAACCAAGCCCGGAGGAGAGAAGGGCUUUUGGAAAAGCAAAGUGAACGCAAAAUCCACUCUGAUGAGUGGUGGAGAAGCAGAAGCAAAAGGCUUGGGGCUUUUGAAAGUGAAGUGGAUUUUUGAAUGCUAAAAAAAAAAAAAAAAAAAAAUCUGUAAUUUCCAGUUUUAAAGAACCGCCUAUAAGGAUAAUUGAACAAAUAAAAAGCUCACUUUUUGAACC